This 489-nucleotide ribosomal RNA is filed under the name uncultured Pseudomonas sp. Its description in RNAcentral is "bacterial SSU rRNA". It matches the Rfam family "Bacterial small subunit ribosomal RNA", at positions 13 to 499 of the family's 1533-position model. Lineage: Bacteria; Pseudomonadati; Pseudomonadota; Gammaproteobacteria; Pseudomonadales; Pseudomonadaceae. The record is from RNAcentral.
UUGAUCAUGGCUCAGAUUGAACGCUGGCGGCAGGCCUAACACAUGCAAGUCGAGCGGCAGCGGGUCCUUCGGGAUGCCGGCGAGCGGCGGACGGGUGAGUAAUGCCUAGGAAUCUGCCUGGUAGUGGGGGAUAACUCGGGGAAACUCGAGCUAAUACCGCAUACGUCCUACGGGAGAAAGCGGGGGAUCUUCGGACCUCGCGCUACCAGAUGAGCCUAGGUCGGAUUAGCUAGUUGGUGAGGUAAAGGCUCACCAAGGCGACGAUCCGUAGCUGGUCUGAGAGGAUGAUCAGCCACACUGGAACUGAGACACGGUCCAGACUCCUACGGGAGGCAGCAGUGGGGAAUAUUGGACAAUGGGCGAAAGCCUGAUCCAGCCAUGCCGCGUGUGUGAAGAAGGCCUCGGGAUUGUAAAGCACUUUAAGUUGGGAGGAAGGACAGUUAGUUAAUACCUUGCUGUUUUGACGUUACCGCAAAUAAGAACCGGCUA